This 465-nucleotide ribosomal RNA is filed under the name Vreelandella stevensii. RNAcentral's name for it is "partial 16S ribosomal RNA". It matches the Rfam family "Bacterial small subunit ribosomal RNA", at positions 338 to 795 of the family's 1533-position model. The record is from RNAcentral. Lineage: Bacteria; Pseudomonadati; Pseudomonadota; Gammaproteobacteria; Oceanospirillales; Halomonadaceae.
CCUACGGGGGGCUGCAGUGGGGAAUAUUGGACAAUGGGCGAAAGCCUGAUCCAGCCAUGCCGCGUGUGUGAAGAAGGCCUUCGGGUUGUAAAGCACUUUCAGUGGGGAAGAAAGCCUUGGGGCUAAUACCCUCGAGGAAGGACAUCACCCACAGAAGAAGCACCAGCUAACUCCGUGCCAGCAGCCGCGGUAAUACGGAGGGUGCGAGCGUUAAUCGGAAUUACUGGGCGUAAAGCGCGCGUAGGCGGUCUGAUAAGCCGGUUGUGAAAGCCCCGGGCUCAACCUGGGAACGGCAUCCGGAACUGUCAGGCUAGAGUGCAGGAGAGGAAGGUAGAAUUCCCGGUGUAGCGGUGAAAUGCGUAGAGAUCGGGAGGAAUACCAGUGGCGAAGGCGGCCUUCUGGACUGACACUGACGCUGAGGUGCGAAAGCGUGGGUAGCAAACAGGAUUAGAUACCCUUGUAGUC